RNAcentral lists this long non-coding RNA (1175 nucleotides) under Mustela putorius furo (domestic ferret). RNAcentral's name for it is "lncRNA (ENSMPUG00000024787.1)". The record is from RNAcentral. Lineage: Eukaryota; Metazoa; Chordata; Mammalia; Carnivora; Mustelidae.
NNNNNNNNNNNNNNNNNNNNNNNNNNNNNNNNNNNNNNNNNNNNNNNNNNNNNNNCACUUCCUUACCCCCUUCCUCAGUUGCCUCCCACAUCCCAUUCCAGAGACCGGCACUCCUGGGCUUGCAGCCAGUCCCUCACACUCAGCAGAUGCGGGUUUGGAGGAGGGAGUUUGGCCAGGGACGGGAUUUAACAAAUUCCUUGGGGACCUUGAUUCCCAGGGAAGAAUGGCAGUGACCCAGCACGGAUUGGGGGACCCAGUCAGGCAGCCCAGAAAAAGGGAGAUUAUACAAACAGAUGUAAAGACCCAGUAACAACAUGUGUGAAUCUGUCUACGAGGCUGGGACAGGAGAUGAGGUGCGAAGAAUCCAGUUUCAACCAAGUGGUGUAACCAAAAAAGUUGCCGUCUCAAUAUUGGUUUAUGUUUAUUUUCCACUGACCCUAUGGGUGAAGAUACCCUUGACCAUUACUCCACCUGAAUAUGUUCCAGUUCAUCCGACGUUACAUCACCAGGUUAAGAGAUAUGGAGAUCUCCACAAGGAUUUGGAGAAGAGUCCCAAUAAUUAUUAAAAUUCUGGACUAGAUCUAUUAGGAAAGGUAAAGAAGCCUAAAGUCUUACUAGGAAAAAGGAGUUGUAAUGGUUUACUAAAGCUUUUCAAAUAUUGAUGUCAAGUAGAUGUUACACAUUGCUGGAGAACAAGAUAAAGUAGAUUUAUGAUGCAACCUAGAGCUUUAAGUGAGAGUUCAUUAAGACACUGUUUUGGUAAUUAAACUUUAAGGUUUAUUGAGGCAGCCCUUUGGAGAGUUUUUUAUUUUUAUUUUAUUUAUUUAUUUUUUAAGAUUUUAUUUAUUUAUUUGACAGAGAUCACAAGUGGGGAGAGAGGGUGGGGGGGGCACUCAGGCUCCCUGCUCAGCAGAGAGCCCUAUUCGGGGCUCUAUCCCAGGACCCUGAGAUCAUGAUCUGAGCUGAAGGCAGAGGCUUAACCCACUGAGCCACCCAGGUGCCCCUGGAGAGUUUUUUAAAAGUUGGAUUUAAAUGUGUCAUUUCGAGAAAAGAAACUAAUGUUUCUGGUCAUCAAGGAGUCCCACACUUUUUCAAUCACUUUUGCAUAUAUUAACUCACUUAAUCCUUAUAAUGACCCCAUGAGGUAGGUAUUACUAUCCCCAAUCUAUACAUGU